RNAcentral lists this ribosomal RNA (253 nucleotides) under uncultured bacterium. Its description in RNAcentral is "partial 16S ribosomal RNA". It matches the Rfam family "Bacterial small subunit ribosomal RNA", at positions 524 to 776 of the family's 1533-position model. The record is from RNAcentral.
UACGUAGGGUGCAAGCGUUGUCCGGAAUUAUUGGGCGUAAAGAGCUCGUAGGCGGUUUGUCGCGUCUGCUGUGAAAACUCGGGGCUUAACCCUGGGCCUGCAGUGGGUACGGGCAGACUAGAGUGCGGUAGGGGAGACUGGAAUUCCUGGUGUAGCGGUGGAAUGCGCAGAUAUCAGGAGGAACACCGGUGGCGAAGGCGGGUCUCUGGGCCGAUACUGACGCUGAGGAGCGAAAGCGUGGGGAGCGAACAGG